Molecule: ribosomal RNA, 1098 nt
Filed under: Parmotrema reticulatum
Lineage: Eukaryota; Fungi; Ascomycota; Lecanoromycetes; Lecanorales; Parmeliaceae
Description: partial 18S small subunit ribosomal RNA
Rfam family: Eukaryotic small subunit ribosomal RNA
Source: RNAcentral
ACAUGCUAAAAACCUCGACUUCGGAAGGGGUGUAUUUAUUAGAUAAAAAACCAAUGCCCUUCGGGGCUCCUUGGUGAUUCAUAAUAACUCAACGAAUCGCAUGGCCUUGCGCCGGCGAUGGUUCAUUCAAAUUUCUGCCCUAUCAACUUUCGAUGGUAGGAUAGUGGCCUACCAUGGUUUCUACGGGUAACGGGGAAUUAGGGUUCUAUUCCGGAGAGGGAGCCUGAGAAACGGCUACCACAUCCAAGGAAGGCAGCAGGCGCGCAAAUUACCCAAUCCCGACACGGGGAGGUAGUGACAAUAAAUACUGAUACAGGGCUCUUUUGGGUCUUGUAAUUGGAAUGAGUACAAUUUAAAUCCCUUAACGAGGAACAAUUGGAGGGCAAGUCUGGUGCCAGCAGCCGCGGUAAUUCCAGCUCCAAUAGCGUAUAUUAAAGUUGUUGCAGUUAAAAAGCUCGUAGUUGAAACUUGGCCUUGGCUGACCGGUCCGCCUCACCGCGUGCACUGGUUCGGCCGGGGCUUUCCUUCUGGGGAUCCGCAUGGCCUUCAUUGGUUGUGUUGGGGAACCAGGACUUUUACUUUGAAAAAAUUAGAGUGUUCAAAGCAGGCCUAUGCUCGAAUACAUUAGCAUGGAAUAAUAGAAUAGGACGUGUGGUUCUAUUUUGUUGGUUUCUAGGACCGCCGUAAUGAUUAAUAGGGAUAGUCGGGGGCAUCAGUAUUCAAUUGUCAGAGGUGAAAUUCUUGGAUUUAUUGAAGACUAACUACUGCGAAAGCAUUUGCCAAGGAUGUUUUCAUUAAUCAGUGAACGAAAGUUAGGGGAUCGAAGACGAUCAGAUACCGUCGUAGUCUUAACCAUAAACUAUGCCGACUGGGGAUCGGACGGUGUUAUUAUUUUGACCCGUUCGGCACCCUACGAGAANNNNNNNNNNNNNNNNNNNNNNNNNNNNNNNNNNNNNNNNNNNNNNNUUAAAGACAUUGACGGAAGGGCACCACCAGGCGUGGAGCCUGCGGCUUAAUUUGACUCAACACGGGGAAACUCACCAGGUCCAGACAUAAUAAGGAUUGACAGAUUGAGAGCUCUUUCUUGAUUUUAUGGGU